AGACCUUGUUCCACAAUUAACAAUUCCAUUUGGGAAUAAUACAUACAUACAUAUAUAUAUAUGUAUUGCCAGGAGGUUCCCAUCACACAGAAGAGCCUUUGUGUAACUGCAUCCAGAAUGAUUACUCACAUAUGGUUUAGAAAGAGAGUAGAACUGACUUCAAAGAAAAUUAUUUCUCAAUUUUCCUAGGUUUGGGUAGCUAGGGAAAAGAGAUGGCAUACCACUGCAAGAUUACCAGGAAAGAUAUACUAGGUGCCUGUCUAAUGACUUUGUACUGAUUUGUGCUGAUUCAUUGUGAGAAUUUUGAUUACAUGAGUUGAUACAAUUUGAAAUUACAAUGAUUAAUAGCAAAAGUUACUUUUCAAAAACUAUCUACAACCCUUGCACUUCUGCCCAUGAAGUUCAGUUUCUAACCUCUCUACAGACGUCCUGCCUGUGUUGUUGCAAUUUACUUUCUCUGUUUCAGCAUUAUGUGAUCCAUAAUAUUCUCAGGUAUGAAUUCUGCUCUACAGUGUAAGCAAACUCCAGAUCCCCUACACAUGGGAGGAACAAGAAGAGGAAUCCUCUCCCAUGUGAAACAAUUUGAACUACUCGAGGAAUGAGGGAGUGCCAUUCAUUUUUACCUUGCACCAGAACUUCCUUGACAUUUUCCACAGAGAGGAUCUGUGUGAAUCAGUAUCUCCUUUUCUUCCUCCCCUGUGCCAAAUGGUUGUCUUUACUCAAGAUCAAAAGAAACAUCACUUUCUGUGGGAGAAAUACUGUGACAGCAUCAGCUGCAGUAGUUUUGCAGUCGCUGGUGCUGCAAUGAGAACAGACGCAACAGUGACGGGACAAUGCAGAACAGAUGUUAACCAUGGCACCAGGCUGUCAUGAGGCAGCAGCCAGAGAUGCCUUUCCCGUUAUGCUGAUGGCAUACAAUCAAGUCCAAUUGCCUUUUUGCUCUGAAGCCUUUUCUACAAAGAGCGAUGAAAGUGAAGCCUUACUGACACACACAGGAUGGCAGUGUGAUCACCAAAGUAGCUUGAAUCUAUUGGUACAGCAAAGAUUCUGGAAGAAAAAAAGUAUGUGAUAAUAUAACUAGCUAUAAAAGGCACAUUGCACUUAACACAAUAAAGCUGUGGCAGUUAUGGUAUGAGCUAGUUUU
RNAcentral lists this long non-coding RNA (1144 nucleotides) under Anser brachyrhynchus (Pink-footed goose). RNAcentral describes it as "lncRNA (ENSABRG00000004679.1)". Lineage: Eukaryota; Metazoa; Chordata; Aves; Anseriformes; Anatidae. The record is from RNAcentral.